RNAcentral lists this ribosomal RNA (301 nucleotides) under uncultured bacterium. RNAcentral's name for it is "partial 16S ribosomal RNA". It matches the Rfam family "Bacterial small subunit ribosomal RNA", at positions 509 to 807 of the family's 1533-position model. The record is from RNAcentral.
CAGCCGCCGCGGGAAUACGAAGGGGGCUAGCGUUGUUCGGAAUUACUGGGCGUAAAGCGCACGUAGGCGGAUAUUUAAGUCAGGGGUGAAAUCCCGCAGCUCAACUGCGGAACUGCCUUUGAUACUGGGUAUCUUGAGUAUGGAAGAGGUUAGUGGAAUUGCGAGUGUAGAGGUGAAAUUCGUAGAUAUUCGCAGGAACACCAGUGGCGAAGGCGGCUAACUGGUCCAUAACUGACGCUGAGGUGCGAAAGCGUGGGGAGCAAACAGGAUUAGAUACCCCGGUAGUCCCUGUCUCUUAUAC